GACGAACGCUGGCGGCGUGCUUAACACAUGCAAGUCGAACGGUAAGGCCCUUCGGGGUACACGAGUGGCGAACGGGUGAGUAACACGUGGGUGAUCUGCCCUGCACUUCGGGAUAAGCCUGGGAAACUGGGUCUAAUACCGGAUAGGACCACUGCCUGCAUGGGGGGUGGGGGAAAGCUUUUGCGGUGUGGGAGGGGCCCGCGGCCUAUCAGCUUGUUGGUGGGGUGAUGGCCUACCAAGGCGACGACGGGUAGCCGGCCUGAGAGGGUGACCGGCCACACUGGGACUGAGAUACGGCCCAGACUCCUACGGGAGGCAGCAGUGGGGAAUAUUGCACAAUGGGCGCAAGCCUGAUGCAGCGACGCCGCGUGAGGGAUGACGGCCUUCGGGUUGUGAACCUCUUUCAGCACCGACGAAGCGCAAAUGACGGUAGGUGCAGAAGAAGGACCGGCCAACUACGUGCCAGCCGCCGCCGUAA
RNAcentral lists this ribosomal RNA (478 nucleotides) under uncultured bacterium. RNAcentral describes it as "partial 16S ribosomal RNA". It matches the Rfam family "Bacterial small subunit ribosomal RNA", at positions 28 to 523 of the family's 1533-position model. The record is from RNAcentral.